Molecule: ribosomal RNA, 405 nt
Filed under: uncultured bacterium
Lineage: Bacteria
Description: bacterial SSU rRNA
Rfam family: Bacterial small subunit ribosomal RNA
Source: RNAcentral
GUGGGGAAUAUUGGACAAUGGGCGAAAGCCUGAUCCAGCAAUGCCGCGUGAGUGAUGAAGGCCUUAGGGUUGUAAAGCUCUUUUACCAGGGAUGAUAAUGACAGUACCUGGAGAAUAAGCUCCGGCUAACUCCGUGCCAGCAGCCGCGGUAAUACGGAGGGAGCUAGCGUUGUUCGGAAUUACUGGGCGUAAAGCGUACGUAGGCGGCGAUUCAAGUCAGAGGUGAAAGCCUGGAGCUCAACUCCAGAACUGCCUUUGAAACUAGAUUGCUAGAAUCUUGGAGAGGUCAGUGGAAUUCCGAGUGUAGAGGUGAAAUUCGUAGAUAUUCGGAAGAACACCAGUGGCGAAGGCGACUGACUGGACAAGUAUUGACGCUGAGGUACGAAAGCGUGGGGAGCAAACAGG